UACGGAGGGUGCAAGCGUUAUCCGGAUUCACUGGGUUUAAAGGGUGCGUGGGUGGGUUGGUAAGUCAGUGGUGAAAUCUCCGAGCUUAACUUGGAAACUGCCAUUGAUACUAUCAGUCUUGAAUACCGUGGAGAUGAGCGGAAUAUGUCAUGUAGCGGUGAAAUGCUUAGAUAUGACAUAGAACACCAAUUGCGAAGGCAGCUGGCUACACAAAUAUUGACACUGAGGCACGAAAGCGUGGGGAUCAAACAGG
RNAcentral lists this ribosomal RNA (253 nucleotides) under uncultured bacterium. RNAcentral's name for it is "partial 16S ribosomal RNA". It matches the Rfam family "Bacterial small subunit ribosomal RNA", at positions 524 to 776 of the family's 1533-position model. The record is from RNAcentral.